AACGAACGCUGGCGGCAGGCCUAACACAUGCAAGUCGAGCGCGCCCUUCGGGGUGAGCGGCGGACGGGUGAGUAACGCGUGGGAACGUGCCCUUUGGUUCGGAAUAGCCCUGGGAAACUGGGAGUAAUACCGGAUACGGUCGAGAGACGAAAGAUUUAUCGCCGAAGGAUCGGCCCGCGUUGGAUUAGGUAGUUGGUGGGGUAAUGGCCUACCAGGCCGACGAUCCAUAGCUGGUUUGAGAGGAUGAUCAGCCACACUGGGACUGAGACACGGCCCAGACUCCUACGGGAGGCAGCAGUGGGGAAUCUUAGACAAUGGGCGCAAGCCUGAUCUAGCCAUGCCGCGUGAGCGAUGAAGGCCUUAGGGUUGUAAAGCUCUUUCGUGGGGGAAGAUAAUGACUGUACCCCAAGAAGAAGCCCCGGCUAACUCCGCGCCAGCAGCCGCGGUAAU
Molecule: ribosomal RNA, 450 nt
Filed under: uncultured Paracoccaceae bacterium
Lineage: Bacteria; Pseudomonadati; Pseudomonadota; Alphaproteobacteria; Rhodobacterales; Paracoccaceae
Description: bacterial SSU rRNA
Rfam family: Bacterial small subunit ribosomal RNA
Source: RNAcentral